Molecule: ribosomal RNA, 253 nt
Filed under: uncultured bacterium
Lineage: Bacteria
Description: partial 16S ribosomal RNA
Rfam family: Bacterial small subunit ribosomal RNA
Source: RNAcentral
UACGAAGGGAGCGAGCGUUGUUCGGAAUCACUGGGCUUAAAGCGUGCGUAGGUGGAUAUGUAAGUCAGAAGUGAAAUCCCCGGGCUUAACCCGGGAACUGCUUUUGAGACUGCAUGUCUGGAAUUCGGUAGAGGUUAGUGGAAUAUCCAGUGUAGAGGUGAAAUUCGCAGAUAUUGGAUGGAACACCAGUGGCGAAGGCGACUAACUGGACCGACAUUGACACUGAGGCACGAAAGCGUGGGUAGCAAACAGG